UCUUCUCCUGGAAACGGGUGGUAAUGCCGGAUGCUCCGACUCCUCGCAUGGGGUGUCGGGAAAGAUUUCAUCGGUAUGGGAUGGGGUCGCGUCCUAUCAGGUAGUCGGCGGGGUAACGGCCCACCGAGCCUACGACGGGUAGCCGGCCUGAGAGGGCGACCGGCCACAUUGGGACUGAGAUACGGCCCAGACUCCUACGGGAGGCAGCAGUGGGGAAUAUUGCACAAUGGGCGCAAGCCUGAUGCAGCGACGCCGCGUGCGGGAUGACGGCCUUCGGGUUGUAAACCGCUUUUGAUCGGGAGCAAGCCUUCGGGUGAGUGUACCUUUCGAAUAAGCACCGGCUAACUACGUGCCAGCAGCCGCGGUAAUACGUAGGGUGCAAGCGUUAUCCGGAAUUAUUGGGCGUAAAGGGCUCGUAGGCGGUUCGUCGCGUCCGGUGUGAAAGUCCAUCGCUUAACGGUGGAUCUGCGCCGGGUACGGGCGGGCUGGAGUGCGGUAGGGGAGACUGGAAUUCCCGGUGUAACGGUGGAAUGUGUAGAUAUCGGGAAGAACACCA
Molecule: ribosomal RNA, 556 nt
Filed under: Bifidobacterium pseudocatenulatum
Lineage: Bacteria; Bacillati; Actinomycetota; Actinomycetes; Bifidobacteriales; Bifidobacteriaceae
Description: bacterial SSU rRNA
Rfam family: Bacterial small subunit ribosomal RNA
Source: RNAcentral